CACGUAGGGUGCGAGCGUUGUCCGGAAUUAUUGGGCGUAAAGAGCUCGUAGGCGGUGUGUCGCGUCGGCCGUGAAAACCUGCAGCUUAACUGUGGGCGUGCGGUCGAUACGGGCAUCACUGGAGUUCGGCAGGGGAGACUGGAAUUCCUGGUGUAGCGGUGAAAUGCGCAGAUAUCAGGAGGAACACCGGUGACGAAGGCGGGUC
RNAcentral lists this ribosomal RNA (205 nucleotides) under uncultured bacterium. RNAcentral describes it as "partial 16S ribosomal RNA". It matches the Rfam family "Bacterial small subunit ribosomal RNA", at positions 524 to 727 of the family's 1533-position model. The record is from RNAcentral.